GCACGGAAGUUAGCCGGGGCUUCUUCUGUUGGUACCGUCAUUAUCUUCCCGACUGGAAAGAUCUUUACAACCCUAAGGCCUUCAUCGAUCACGCGGAAUGGCUAGAUCAGGGUUUCCCCCAUUGUCUCAGAUUCCCCA
This 138-nucleotide ribosomal RNA is filed under the name uncultured bacterium. RNAcentral's name for it is "partial 16S ribosomal RNA". The record is from RNAcentral.